This 119-nucleotide ribosomal RNA is filed under the name Petromyzon marinus (sea lamprey). Lineage: Eukaryota; Metazoa; Chordata; Hyperoartia; Petromyzontiformes; Petromyzontidae. The record is from RNAcentral.
GCCUACGACCAUAUCACCCAGAAUGCGCACGAUCUCGUCUGAUCUCGGAAGCUAAGCAGGGUCGAGCUUGGAUAGUACUUGGAUGGGAGACUGCCUGGGAAUACCAGGUGUUGUAGGCA